CCUACGGGAGGCAGCAGUGAGGAAUAUUGGUCAAUGGUCGGGCGACUGAACCAGCCAAGCCGCGUGAGGGAUGAAGGUACAGAGUAUCGUAAACCUCUUUUGUCAGGGAACAAAGGCGGGGACGUGUCCCCGGAUGAGUGUACCUGAAGAAAAAGCAUCGGCUAACUCCGUGCCAGCAGCCGCGGUAAUACGGAGGAUGCGACCGUUAUCCGGAUUUAUGGGGUUAAAAGGGUGCGCAGGCGGUCUGUUAAGUCAGCGGUCAAAGCCCGGGGCUCAACCCCGGCCCGCCGUUGAAACUGGCAGUCUCGAGUGGGAGAGAAGUAUGCGGAAUGCGCGGUGUAGCGGUGAAAUGCAUAGAGAUCGCGCAGAACUCCGAUUGCGAAGGCAGCAUGCCGGCUCCACACUGACGCUGAGGCACGAAAGCGUGGGUAUCGAACAGGAUUAGAUACCCUGGUAGUC
Molecule: ribosomal RNA, 459 nt
Filed under: uncultured bacterium
Lineage: Bacteria
Description: partial 16S ribosomal RNA
Rfam family: Bacterial small subunit ribosomal RNA
Source: RNAcentral